Canis lupus familiaris (dog) is the source of this 5025-nucleotide long non-coding RNA. RefSeq lists it as uncharacterized. The transcript is spliced from 2 exons. The record is from RefSeq and is a predicted model, not a curated record. NCBI's taxonomy places the organism in Eukaryota, Metazoa, Chordata, Mammalia, Carnivora, Canidae.
UAGACCUGAAUGUAUAUUUAAUGUUUCAAAUGUUUGCUUAAUAGAGUAGCUUACACAGAAUAUUUUGUCAUUUUAAAGGCAUAUAUACAUGUGUUUACCCCAUCAGAACCUUAUUUCUGAGAAAAUAAGGACUUCUUGCUAAGCCCUGCAGGGAAAUGAAUGUAUAUAAUCUUGUCAGAUGAAAAGCAGACCAGACUUCUGGGUUAACCCUAGUCUGUUAGUUACUUACUAAGUUAUCUCAGGUAACUGAUUUCUUCUUGAUUCUCACACUUCUUCACCUUCAAAAUGAAUAUAAUCAUAGUAUCUACCUCAGAAGAUGGUCAUAAGGAUUUCUGGAGUUAAGCUGCAUAAAUAUACUCAUAAAAUGGCAGACUCCAGGAAUUUCAAAAAUAGUAGCAAUGCUUAUUAUUAAUUGCUUAUAACAAUUCAGUAUAAAAUGCAGAGCAGAUAAAAAAAUGAAAAUUAAAGAAAAUUAUGACUGAGGCCAGAGAGCUGGUACCUAGAGAGGUCAACCUAAUAAUUCAUAACCUUGAUAUUUCUAGCCAAAGACUGGUGGGCUUGCUGUGUCUACUGGAGCCAAGCUGUGUCUACUGGAGCCAAGCUACUGGUUUGCUUCAUGAAACCAAAGGUGCCAUCAGGGUUGGGCCACUUUAGCCCCACCUUGAGACACCUGCCUAUCUGAUGCUGUCCAUCUGCAAAUUGAAGGAAGUUGAUCCUAUCAUAGAAGAGAAGAAGCAUCAGAGGGCCAAAGGGUAGUAUUAAAAAACUCACUUCCUUGAAUGGUAAAAUAAUACUCUUUCUAAACACUAUCCUUCACUAGUAAGUUUGCUUUUUUUAAAUAAUAGUAAUUAUUAUUAUUAUUUAGUUUGUUUUAAUCAAGUCCCAAAUACCUGGGUUCUCCCAACCAUUUGCCUUGAUUUUUGCCUUUAUUUCUCUACCACUAUUCCUACCAGGUCCCAGGCAUCACCAAUUUCAUGUUUAAAUUAUCUGUCACCCAUAUCCUAGUUCCCCUAUGAUUCAUAUGCCAGGCAACACACACAUCCAUAGUACACAAUCAACUAAUGCAGGUUAGUUAAAGCUGCGGGUUGUGUAAUCCAUUUCUCAACAUGAUAUACACUGUAAAAAGGCAACAGCAGUAAAGGGGUGGAAGUUGAUUUAAGAGGCUCCUCGGGCAACAACAGUCACAAUUUUCAAAUGUGCCAAAAAUUCAUUAGGGUUCCAUGUCAGAUUGCCGUAAUCUCUGUAGCAAUAGAUUAAUAAAUACAGUAAUGCGUUGUUCUGGAGGCUGCAAUGACACAUUGUGGAUAUUCUGUAUAAGUGGUGUCUUCCCAUGAUCAUAUUCUUCUCUUGAGGAAUUAUCUGUUUCCUGAUUUGUCUUAAUGAUACUUGAAGGACUUUGCAAACAACCUGCCUAGGGUAGAAAAUGUUGAAAUAAAUCAUAGGAGCCAUCAACUACAGUCCAAGCUUGGUGAGCUCUCCAAAGACAUUUGAUACAGAAGAUGCAGGAAAAUGUCAGUACUUAUAUUUAUGUCCUACAGCUAACUAAUUUCAUGCUAAUUUCAUUUCUAUACUGUGAUUCUUCUUUCUACCUGUGCUGAUAGAUGGAUUUCAUGAGUUAAUUCUCCAGUUUCCGAUGCAGGCAGACUGGACAUAAAUCCCAGGGUUUUGUAGAAGAGACAGUUCUUCCAUGCUACUUAUUAUCAGCACAAGCACACUGCAGCCUUGGCUUAUUUAUCAAGAUAUUGCUACCAUUCUACAUGCUUUCCAAGUUUAACCUACCUACUUUACAAUAGCUUUUCAUGGGAGGUGCUUUACAAAUUUUGUGGUUUAUUACUUUUAUUAGUUUUUUUAUUAUUUUUAUUUCUCCAGGUCUGAUUGGGAAAAGACUUUGGGCUUCUUCCUCCUUUUUUUUUUUUUUUUCUUUUCUUUCUUUUUUUUUUUUUUUUUCAAAGCAUACCCAGAGAACAGGACAAGGAAAUUAGCCAAGGCUUACUGCUUCAGAAUAAACCUCGUGGGACAGAUUUAUUUGGGCAAGGUUGGCAAUCCAUGGGUUUCCCAUCUGUGUGUCCUAGGAAUGGUGGAGUAAACAUUGGCUCCCUGGGUUUUCUCUGGUGUGUCUAAUUUAUAGAUUUCCAGCUUGAAAAAGGGUUGAUCAUGGAAAAAGAUUCUCUGCUUUAAAAAAAAAACAGACCUUAAAUAUAAGGAUUCCAUAGUAAUAUUUAUCGAGCAGUUAUGAUGUAUUAGACACUGUGUUAUAUUAUUUAAUCUAAUCCUCCUAACAGGUUUAUGGAUUAGUAACUAUUUUUAUCCCAAUUUCACAAAGAAGGAAGCUGAGGUUUAAGCUGCUUGUAUCACUUCUCCCACUUUCUCACAGCUGGUGGAAACAGAAUUCCAACCCACACAGAUGAACCCCAGGGACCAUGUUCUUAACCACCACAUCCUGGCUGUCUUUAAUGUUAAUCCUUGUUAAUUCUCUGUUCCUUUCUCUCUCCAAGCUUCAUUAUAGGAAUUACCUCUUUGAUGCCGAAUUUUCAUUCUAUUUCCUGGGGACUGAUCUCACUUGGUGACCCUGGCACAAAGACAGCACCUGUUUGACUUAGUCAACUUUGAUUCUACAAUGUACUACCUUAAACAAGCAACUCCUAUAUAACUGUGGCCUGCCCUUUUGGGCAGGGGAGGACAAUUCUAGUGAAUUGAUUUAGUAUUCUGGUCUUCAGUAAGCAUAUUAUCAGUUAUUGAGUAUCCAUAACAAAAGAUACUUGGUAAUGGCAAAUGAUAAGGCCUAUUUAACUCCAGCUGGCUGGAGAAUUGUAACAGAAUGUGGCAGAGACUAUUUCCCAAUAGCAAUUCUCCCCUUCUUCUCUGGUAACAUAAUGUCUAAUUUUUAAUGAUAUAACUGGUUCCCCAAAUGAAGACUGCAUUUCUGAUACUUCCUUUGAGCUACAUACAGUCAUAUGAUUACCCUCUAGCCAAGGGGAUGUGAGAAGAAGCAACACAGUUUGUGGGUUAUGCUGAUAAAGCAAGAAUUAUGUUCUCCUCUUCCCCUUUUUCUCCUUCUGGAUGACUAGAAUGUGAAAGUGGGAGUGUGCUAUCUCAGACUGUUCAGAAAGAGCAGCAAUGCCAUAGGAAAUUCAGAGCAACGGGUAGAAGUUGCUGAGUCUUGAUGUGGUGUGUGUACUGCCUAUCCUCAGACUGUUACAUGAGAAAGAAGCAGUGUACAAUGCUAACUUAUUUGGAGUAAGAUAAUGCCCUAACACAAGAAGGUUAAUCUAAUUCAAGUCUUUCCCAUUGUUUUUAGAAUCUUUUUUCUAAUCUAUAAAGUAGACCAAGAAGAACAUUGAGAAAAGAGAAAAUUUUUGAAAAAAUACAAGUUAUAUUGGAUCUAGGAGAGUAGAUGGAUAUUUUUAAGGAAAAAGCAUUUUUUCCCCAAAUAGGCCCAAAAUAUCAAGAUGAGAAGUAUACAUAUUUUAUCAAUCACUUGGAUUCUAGAUGUUUAAUCAGCAUGAUGUCAAAUCUCAACUAACAGAUGAUCAAGUCAGUCAUCAUGGUAUUUCAGUUAUGUUUCAACAAGUAGCAGAAAUAUGAACACCAACAAAUUCUAUAAAUUGUACCACGGCACUGCUUUUAAAAUUUCAUUGGGCAGAAGACUCAUCUGGGAGUCUUGUUAGAUAUGCAUAUUUCUUGGUCCUACCCUAGAUUUGUGUGUGAAGCCUAGAAGCCUUUUUAUGAAUCAACCAGGUGACCCUCUGGAUCACAAGAGCCUCAAAAGCUAUAAGAUAUGGAAGCUUGCAAGGAAUAUUGAUAAUAAUGAUAGCAAUAAUUAUAAAAAUAUUAAAUCACUCACUGACAUAUCUAGACCAGUAUUUCACUAAAUACUGCAAAUAAAAAUAAUAUCUAAAAUGAAUUAUGUGCUCAUUAUGUUAGGCACUAUGAAAAUCUUUGACACUAUUUCAUUUAAUUUUCAAAAUAAAAAGGCAUUCUUUACUAACUAUUCUCAUUUUUCAGAUGAAAACUGAGGUUUGGUAGAUUUAGAUGGACUUACACAAAAUCUAAGCUAAAAAGUGGCAGAACUGGGUCUCUUCUCCAGAGUCUAAGACCUUAACUCUUGGACACUAAGGUUGCUCAUCAUUCUUAGCAUUGUCAUGGGUCAGAGGGAAAAACCACAGUCAAAAUUUAUUCAAGUAAGUACAGUAGUGAGUACAAAUGUUAUGUGUGUACCUGCCAUUUGCAGGAUAUCAUAUAGGACCUAUGGAAAAAAUGAUUUCAGGGAUUAAAAGAAAAGGAAGAGCAUUAAAAAAUAUGUGUUCUGAGUUUAAAGACCAAGGUUUUUAAAAAUUCAUCUUUUUAAAAGUCAUCUUAGCUUUUACACACACACACACACACACACACACACACAUUUUAAAGAGGUAAAAUGUUUUCAGUAGGUUUCCAAGACUGUGCUGGCUCUACACUCAAAAUUUUAAAUUAAUUAUCAUUUAAUUCAAAAUCUUUUGGUGAAUUGUUUUAUUUUUUAUAAUUUAAUUUUAUUGCAUUUUUUGGGUCUAUACUUGGCUAAGUUGGGGUUUGCAUUUUUCAGUUUUGUCUGUUUUUGUCUCUAUCUAUAUAUAUAUGUAUAUAAGACUGUGUCUGUUUAUGCCACACAUGUGCCCACACACACAUACACACAAAUAGAAAUCAUUUAUAUAUGUACUUCCACAUUUAUUAUCACAGCUGUCAAUCUUCAUAUUGAGAGGAACCAUGAUGUGGAUUAUAAAUUCAUGUUAACAUGAAUACUUGUGGGUUUUCUUAAUUCAAAAUAAUACUUACAUAAGCAAGACACCAGCAUAUAUCAAAUCUUAACUGGGUCCUUAAUUACAACAGGAAGUUAAACAAAGAAAUUAACAUGCAAAAUGUUACAUUUAACUGAAAGACAUCAAUAUAUCUCAUGCUUUUGUUUUAUAUCAAGAAUUUUUAACCAACAGUACUACUCAGGAGAGAAAAAAAGUCUCCAUUUCAAAAAAAUAAAAUAAAAAUGCUAAAAUUAAA